RNAcentral lists this ribosomal RNA (500 nucleotides) under uncultured bacterium. Its description in RNAcentral is "bacterial SSU rRNA". It matches the Rfam family "Bacterial small subunit ribosomal RNA", at positions 80 to 595 of the family's 1533-position model. The record is from RNAcentral.
UACUUUGAUAGCACAGUGGCGAACGGGUGCGUAACACGUAGAUACAUUCCGUAAAGUGGGGAAUAGCCCAGGGAAACUUGGAUUAAUGCCGCAUGUGGUCGAGAGACUAAAGGCAACGAAAGUUGUCGCUUUACGAUUGGUCUGCGGCCUAUCAGCUAGUUGGCGGGGUAAUGGCCCACCAAGGCUACGACGGGUAGCUGGUCUAAGAGGACGACCAGCCACACUGGAACUGAGACACGGUCCAGACACCUACGGGUGGCAGCAGUCGAGAAUCUUUCACAAUGGGGGCAACCCUGAUGGAGCGACGCCGCGUGGAGGAGAAGGUCUUCGGAUUGUAAACUCCUGUCAUGCGCGAACAAAUGUGCCUAGCACACUGAUAGUAGCGCAAGAGGAAGAGACGGCUAACUCUGUGCCAGCAGCCGCGGUAAUACAGAGGUCUCAAGCGUUGUUCGGAAUCACUGGGCGUAAAGGGUGCGUAGGUGGUUAGGCAAGUCAGAUGU